GUGGGUAUAGCUUAGUGGUAGAGUGCAUGCUUAGCAUGCACAAGGUCCUGGGUUCAAUCCCCAGUACCUCCA
RNAcentral lists this transfer RNA (72 nucleotides) under Camelus bactrianus (Bactrian camel). It matches the Rfam family "tRNA". Rfam says of the family: Transfer RNA (tRNA) molecules are approximately 80 nucleotides in length. Their secondary structure includes four short double-helical elements and three loops (D, anti-codon, and T loops). The record is from Rfam by way of RNAcentral. Lineage: Eukaryota; Metazoa; Chordata; Mammalia; Artiodactyla; Camelidae. RNAcentral also lists the same sequence under 2 other names.